RNAcentral lists this ribosomal RNA (398 nucleotides) under Cardiodactylus haddocki. RNAcentral describes it as "partial small subunit ribosomal RNA". The record is from RNAcentral. Lineage: Eukaryota; Metazoa; Arthropoda; Insecta; Orthoptera; Gryllidae.
UAUUAUAAUUAAUGUAAUAUGAUUAUUUGAGUAGUAGUAGAUGUUCUUGAAACUUAAAGAAUUUGGCGGUAUUUUAGUCUUUUCAGAGGAAUUUGUUUCUUAAUUGAUAAUACACGAUUUGUUAAACUUAAUUUGGUUAUCAGCUUGUAUACCGCCGUCAUAAGAUUAUUUUUGUUUUGAGGAUUAAUUUUCUUAUAUUUAUAAUAGAAGUUAUGUCAGGUCAAGGUGCAGUUUAUAAUUAAGAUGAAAAUGAGUUACAAUAAUUUUAGUUAUUACGAAUGGUGAUGGUAAGAUGAGUUUGAAGGUGGAUUUGAUUGUAAAUUUAUUUUUAAUUUUUUUGUUGAUUUGGGCUCUAAAAUGUGUACAUAUCGCCCGUCGCUCUCAUAUUUUUUAAUGAG